This 490-nucleotide ribosomal RNA is filed under the name uncultured bacterium. RNAcentral's name for it is "partial 16S ribosomal RNA". It matches the Rfam family "Bacterial small subunit ribosomal RNA", at positions 28 to 507 of the family's 1533-position model. The record is from RNAcentral.
GAUGAACGCUAGCGAUAGGCUUAACACAUGCAAGUCGAGGGGCAGCAUGGUCUUAGCUUGCUAAGACUGAUGGCGACCGGCGCACGGGUGCGUAACGCGUAUGCAACUUGCCUCACAGAGGGGGAUAACCCGUCGAAAGACGGACUAAUACCGCGUACACUCCAUCUUGGGCAUCCAAGGUAGAGGAAAUGAAAUUCGCUGUGAGAUAGGCAUGCGUCCCAUUAGCUAGUUGGUGAGGUAACGGCUCACCAAGGCGACGAUGGGUAGGGGAACUGAGAGGUUGAACCCCCACACUGGUACUGAGACACGGACCAGACUCCUACGGGAGGCAGCAGUGAGGAAUAUUGGUCAAUGGGAGAGAGCCUGAACCAGCCAAGUCGCGUGAAGGAUGACUGUCUUAUGGAUUGUAAACUUCUUUUAUACGGGAAUAACAAGAGUCACGUGUGACUCCCUGCAUGUACCGUAUGAAUAAGCAUCGGCUAACUCCGUG